Molecule: unclassified non-coding RNA, 22 nt
Filed under: Mus musculus (house mouse)
Lineage: Eukaryota; Metazoa; Chordata; Mammalia; Rodentia; Muridae
Description: oocyte_clustered_small_RNA11108
Source: RNAcentral
ACAAGAAUAUGGAAAUAAUCCC